Molecule: ribosomal RNA, 253 nt
Filed under: uncultured bacterium
Lineage: Bacteria
Description: partial 16S ribosomal RNA
Rfam family: Bacterial small subunit ribosomal RNA
Source: RNAcentral
UACGAAGGGGGCUAGCGUUGCUCGGAAUCACUGGGCGUAAAGGGUGCGUAGGUGGCCAGGUAAGUUCGGUGUGAAAGCUCGGAGCUUAACUCCGAAAUGUCAUUGAAUACUAUCUGGCUGGAGGGUCGGAGGGGAGACUGGAAUUCUCGGUGUAGCAGUGAAAUGCGUAGAUAUCGAGAGGAACACCAGUGGCGAAGGCGAGUCUCUGGACGACUCCUGACACUGAGGCACGAAAGCCAGGGGAGCAAACAGG